UUGAGAGCCAUGUCUGAGUCUUAUAAAGGCUAUGGCUCCCCUUAGUGGACACUGUUAGUUUCUAUGUUGCAGCGAUACACUGCAUGCUUGUGCGUGAGUAUACCGUGACAGACCUCUGGAGGGUUAUUAUUUGUAGGGUCGUGUUUAUGCCUGUCUGAACGUUUUGUGAGGCCCAACCUCGCCUUCCCUUGACACUCCCUUUUCAUUGUUUUGGAAUGACUGCAAUGGGGGAGACGGUAGCAUUAAACCAGCCAUUGGUUGCCAGAAUAUGACCUGAAAUUAGACGAGUUGGCAUUACAAAAUAAAGGCCUAAAUUAUUUCGGGGUAACACGUCUGAAAUGUGUAAUUGUGUUUUUGGUUAAGGUGCGAGGCUUAAGGCUGAGGAUGAAGAGCCAUUUAUUUUAAGUUUUAUCUUCUCAGUUAAUCUUAUAUUAUGACAUACUGUAGCUUCACUUUUGCUGGAGAACUGUUCAUGGUCAACGAUGCUUUUAAUUUGAAAGUCAUGAGCGGAAUUCCCUCAAUCGUUAUUCUCGAUUUAACAGUUCUGACAAAUAACUGCAUCCUACCACCAAAAGUGGACGAUUCACUUUAUAGCAGCAGGGCUGGAAUAAGGAUAAUUGUGUGGAGUUGGAAAAGUUCUGUUAAAUAAGCCUACUUCAAGAAAAUAUUUAGUCCGGCGGUAAAAAGUUAGUUUACUUAUUAAUUAGUUUACUCUGAAAGCACAAGCUGUUGCAUUAUGGACCCCAGUAAGUUUGCGAGCGCUCCUCCAGCGGGAUGGGCUGAUGAGAAAUCCUCUAUGGGCCAUGUGCCCCCUCCGCCCUACCAGGAUCAGCCGCACCCGGGAUACCCUCAGCCCGGCCCGGAAUACUCACAGAACCAGGGCUAUGGACCCCCACCGCAGUAUGGCGGUGCACCCGGACAACAGCCGUACCCCAUGGGUCAGCCGUACCCCAUGGGUCAGCCGUACCCCAUGGGUCAGCAGUACCCAGGGCAUCAGGACUUGGUCACUGUCCAGCCCACAGUCUACGUGACUCAAGUCCCGCUGCCUAACCCUGUCAACGACUACUUGUGUUACUCCAUCUUCACCCUGGUGUGCUGCUGCCUGCCGCUGGGAAUCGCUGCCCUCAUCUACUCCAUCUCAGCCCGUGAAGCCAACCACACCGGGAAUCAGCUUGCGGCGGAGCGUAGCAGCAAGACGGCCAGGACACUGAACCACGUGGCCCUGGGUGUCGGCAUCGGGAUUGUCAUCCUCAUGAUUGUCUUCUCUGCGGUUGUAAAUAAUUAAUAAUUUCCAUUCUCAUUCUACAUCGGUAAUCAAACUCAACCAGGUACAUAACUGGUCAUCGGAAAGAGUUUUCUAUUGUUUUUUUAAAUGGGUAAACUUGAAGUCAUCCGACUGAAAGUUAUUGAUAAAAUAAUCAACCAUAGAUGGCAAUGUAAUCCAUUACUCUCCAACACUGUAGCGAGUAGCCACUACAACUUUCCAAAAAUGUAUAUUUCUUCAACAUUAUUUGUUUGAAAUAUUUUCAACUUUGAUGCCUUAAGAGUUCAGCCUUAGGUCAGUCUUGCUCCAACACACAUAUAGACGUUGACUCAAGUAUUAUCCGAAGAGUUUUAUAUUUUAUGUUUGAAUAGCAAAUGAUUAUAAUUAUACAAUUUGUAGUGUGUCAAAUCUUAUUUUGAAUUUUGUCCCAUUUUACCAUUGAAAGAUAUUUGUCUGAUUGUACGAUUGUCGAAAUAUUGCUGCCCUUUUAACAGAAUUGUAAAUCACCCGCUAACCCUCCUAAAGGUAUGCUAACAUAGUAUAAGAUUUUAAAAAACUAACCAAGGAUACUUUAAAAAUAGAAUUGUCUUUGUUUAGCUCAUGCUAAAUGAGUAAAAGAAGAAAGGUUGAGCCUUUGUGCAUCUAAUCUGAGAGUGCACACUACAAAGUCAUCUACGCUUUUUCCAGUUAGUUCUGAAUUGCACCAAAGCCCUCUGUUUAAUUACAGGAAUGCCCAGCUUCACACAAAAUCACGCUUGGCAACAGCGCAGCCAAUAUGGCUGACACAGCCAGUUGUUCCAUCAAUGGCUCUGGCUCUGUUUUAAAAACAUAGUGUGAUAUGUAUGGUGUUAUUAGUCAUGUAAAGACUAUGUUAUUUUCUUAACCAAAUUUGUAUACCACAUUUAUUUUAUAAAUAAAGUAUAUUGAGAGUAUAUUGUACUGUCUGGACUAUUUAUAGCCAUAGCCUCGGUCUAGCACUCUACAGAUCACACUCUUUCAGAGGUUUGUCUCUUUGGCCAGUGUUUCUCAAGUUAGAGGAUAGGAAACAAGUGGCUACCUGCCAGUUUCACGUAGACGUUAAGGUUUCAGCAGAGUACUGAAUUAAAAAAUAUAUAAAUAAUAGAUCAUUCAAAAAUAAGUCAGUGUAUUACAUGAUACAUGAUAUGUCAUGGCAAUUUGUAAUUUUUAUUUCCCAUUAAAAUAUGUUGUAAAUUUAUCAUAGGCAUGUACAUCCUUAUAGUUAACUGUAAUAAAUACUUACAAUAUAUACAAACACUCAGCCUAACUGUGCGUAAGCAGCAAACCUUUAUUACUCAGCAAAUGUUCUUAUCUGUACCUACAAUCAUGGCCGUAAUUUCCAUGUCCCCCCCCCAAUUUUCAAAAUCCCGUUUGUGUCCCCCCCCACUUUCAAAUUUGUUUAUUUAUUUAUUUAUUUAUUUUAACCGCAAGCCAUCAUCACCAGAGAGGAGCACGACACACAAGCUGUGUCUCAAUUCAGGGGCUGCAGCCUUCGGAGGCUGCAUUUGUAGACCGAUUACGUCACAGCAGCCGUGACAGGGCUGUCGCAUUUUGGAGACUCCUUAAAAUGCAGCAGACAUAUGCGGCCUUCUUUUCCCGGAUUUGGAGGAUACAUCUGAUGGAUUCUUCACGGCCGCACGUAUCCUAAGAUUCAUUGCGCGCCCAGAGAAGUUAUUUUCUGACAAAAAAUGUAGCCCCCUGAUCCAGCAGUAGCGGAAAGUGGAUAUACUUUUAAAUGUAAGUAUUGGGUUUCAACUCGCUCGAAUAGCUAAUGAUACAAAUGUUAUGAAACCAAAGGACCAUAAACCAUACAUUUUUCGCGGGGGGCGGGUCCUCCGUAGACCGCGAAAGCUGAACCGAGCGAUCUACGAAAUGAGAAAAAGCGCAAAGACAUAAUUGGAAACAAUACGAAUCAAUCUUUUCACACAAACCUGUACCAGUGCAAUAAUCUUCAAUAAGUCAGCAAUUGCAAGAGGAAAGGAAGAUCUGUUUUAAUAUUCUUAGAGGAAAUAGUUGUCUUCAUGUCAAAAGAAAAACCUUUCUGCAGUCAUAAAUCAGGGAAAUAAAAAAGUCGUAAAGCAGGUGGCACUGGAGCAGUUCAUCGCCGGUGAACUGGGUCCAGUUCCAUCAACCUGCCUGGGGGGCGAAGCCCGGGCCCCAGCUCCACAAGUCCGACCCAUUCCAGCCCCGGAGGUUCCGGACCGCAGCGAGUACUCUGUGGUGAACCUUAUAGUUUAAUUUAAGGGGGAACAAGGUAUCCUGAGGCAGUGCUGCUGUGUAACAUCUCGGCAAAGAGUGUGGCGCAGGCACUGUUCCACGUUAUCUCCCGAGUUGGGAUCCCGAAAGAGAUCUUAA
Molecule: long non-coding RNA, 3637 nt
Filed under: Cottoperca gobio
Lineage: Eukaryota; Metazoa; Chordata; Actinopteri; Perciformes; Bovichtidae
Description: lncRNA (ENSCGOG00000008247.1)
Source: RNAcentral